UGUAGCACUCCAGAUAUUUCCUCAUUAC
RNAcentral lists this non-coding RNA (28 nucleotides) under Mus musculus (house mouse). The record is from RNAcentral. Lineage: Eukaryota; Metazoa; Chordata; Mammalia; Rodentia; Muridae.